Molecule: transfer RNA, 74 nt
Filed under: Labrenzia sp. EL_132
Lineage: Bacteria; Pseudomonadati; Pseudomonadota; Alphaproteobacteria; Hyphomicrobiales; Stappiaceae
Also listed under: 1 other name
Description: tRNA-Thr
Rfam family: tRNA
About the family: Transfer RNA (tRNA) molecules are approximately 80 nucleotides in length.
Source: RNAcentral
CACGUGUAGCUCAGUGGGUAGAGCAUCGGGUAUGUUGCCCGAAGGUCACAGGUUCGACUCCUGUCAUGUAACCA